GAUGAACGCUGGCGGCGUGCCUAAUACAUGCAAGUCGAGCGAACAGACGAGGAGCUUGCUCCUCUGACGUUAGCGGCGGACGGGUGAGUAACACGUGGAUAACCUACCUAUAAGACUGGGAUAACUUCGGGAAACCGGAGCUAAUACCGGAUAAUAUAUUGAACCGCAUGGUUCAAUAGUGAAAGACGGUUUUGCUGUCACUUAUAGAUGGAUCCGCGCUGCAUUAGCUAGUUGGUAAGGUAACGGCUUACCAAGGCAACGAUGCGUAGCCGACCUGAGAGGGUGAGCGGCCACACUGGAACUGAGACACGGUCCAGACUCUUACGGGAGGCAGCAGUAGGGAAUCUUCCGCAAUGGGCGAAAGCGUGACGGAGCACCGCCGCGUGAGUGUAGAAGGUCUUCGGAUCGUAAAACUCUGUUAUUAGGGAAGAACAAAUGUGUAAGUAACUAUGCACGUCUUGACGGUACCUAAUCAGAAAGCCAUGGCUAACUACGUG
This 497-nucleotide ribosomal RNA is filed under the name uncultured bacterium. Its description in RNAcentral is "partial 16S ribosomal RNA". It matches the Rfam family "Bacterial small subunit ribosomal RNA", at positions 28 to 507 of the family's 1533-position model. The record is from RNAcentral.